GAUGAACGCUGGCGGCGUGCCUAAUACAUGCAAGUCGAACGCUUCACUUCGGUGAAGAGUGGCGAACGGGUGAGUAAUACAUAAGUAACCUGGCAUCUACAGGGGGAUAACUGAUGGAAACGUCAGCUAAGACCGCAUAGGUGUAGAGAUCGCAUGAACUCUAUAUGAAAAGUGCUACGGGACUGGUAGAUGAUGGACUUAUGGCGCAUUAGCUGGUUGGUAGGGUAACGGCCUACCAAGGCGACGAUGCGUAGCCGACCUGAGAGGGUGACCGGCCACACUGGGACUGAGACACGGCCCAGACUCCUACGGGAGGCAGCAGUAGGGAAUUUUCGGCAAUGGGGGAAACCCUGACCGAGCAACGCCGCGUGAAGGAAGAAGUAAUUCGUUAUGUAAACUUCUGUCAUAGAGGAAGAACGGUGGAUAUAGGGAAUGAUAUCCAAGUGACG
Molecule: ribosomal RNA, 449 nt
Filed under: uncultured bacterium
Lineage: Bacteria
Description: bacterial SSU rRNA
Rfam family: Bacterial small subunit ribosomal RNA
Source: RNAcentral